AUGGUCUCAGAAGAGGAGGCUAGGAAAAUGAUCCAGGAUUUAACUGCACUUUGUCAGAAAGGAGGAUUCACUCUGUCAAAGUGGGUCAGCAAUAGUCGUGCAGUGUUGCGCUCUGUCAGCGAAGGCCACAGAGCAAAAGACAUGAUGGAGCUGGAUUUGGAUACAGAUCAACUUCCUGUUGAAUGUACAUUAGGACUACAGUGGUACGUUGAGACUGACCAAUUUGGAUUUAAGGCCUCAGCACAAGAGCAACCACAGACGAGAAGAGGAAUUCUUUCGGUGGUCAGCUCCCUCUAUGACCCAUUGGGCUUCCUUGCUCCAUUCAGAAUGAUGGCUAAGUUGUUACUGCAGGAACUCUGUAAAAGAAACUUUGGAUGGGAUGAAGAUAUUCCCCAUGUUCUCGCUAAGCAAUGGGCUGGUUGGUUGGAAGAUCUCCACAAGGUGGCAAAGUUCAAGAUUGAUCGUUGCAUUAAGCCUAAUGACUUUGGCAACCCUGUUGGGUAUGGAGCUGUCUCUUACUUAAGACUGGAAAGGGAUAAUAAAGUGCAUGUUGCAUUUAUGAUGGGGAAGGCCAGAGUUGCUCCGCUGAAGCAGACAACAAUUCCUCGCCUGGAGCUAACAGCUGCAGUCCUCGCUGUUAGAGUAGACCGCAUGCUACAGAAGGAGUUGCAACUUAGGCUGGAGAAGUCAGUUUUCUGGACUGACAGCACAACAGUCCUUAAAUAUAUAUCAAAUGAAAGCCGGCGAUUCUAUACCUUUGUGGCCAACAGAAUUGCAGUCAUCAGAGAGGCAACUGAUGUUGAUCAGUGGAGAUAUGUGGGGACAAAGGAAAACCCAGCAGAUGAAGCGUCAAGAGGAAUGAGGGCAGAAAAUCUUCUGAACAGAAGGAGAUGGAUGAUGGGACCUGAUUUCCUUUAUAAGUCCAAGAAUGGGUGGCCUAAAUUAGAUGUAGAUCUUCAGGUGAUUCCUGGUGCUGACCCUGAGAUCAAAAGGGACUUGACAGUGAAUGCUGUUGUUAAAGACACAGACAAUGCUAUGAACUACCUGAUUCAUUACUUUUCAUCUUGGAAGAGAUUGCAGGUAGCUGUAGCUUGGCUUCUUAAGAUCAAGGAUACUCUUGUGUUAUUGGGACAUAGGAGAAAGGAGCUUUAUGCCUCUGCUGACCUCAGUAUGGACAUUACAGACUGUCAUCAACAGGUGGAAAGCCAAAUGCAGAGCUUUAAGGCUACACUCAAAGGACAGAGUCUGACACCUCAAGAUGUGACCAGGGCAGAGCUGUCAAUCAUCCGGUAUGUACAACAUCAACGGUUUAAGGAUGAAAUUACCUCGCUGCAGAGUGGUGUGAAAUCCAUAUCCAAGGACAGUCCACUGUACAGAUUAGACCCAGUGAUGGAUGGUGAGAUUCUCAGAGUGGGUGGUUGGUUAAGCAAAGCCUCACUGCCAGUGGAAUCUAAGCGUCCUGUUAUUCUGGCAAAAGAUCUGCAUGUAUCAACACUAAUUCUGCUCCACAUUCAUCAGCAGAUAGGUCAUGCUGGAAGAAAUUAUAUGUUGUCCAGUUUAAUGCGUAAGUAUUGGAUUAUAAAUGCAAACUCUGCUGCCAGAAAGGUCAUGUCAGAUUGUGUUGUUUGCAGACGCAACAGAGGAAGACUCCUUGAACAAAAAAUGGCGGACUUACCUGCUGAAAGAGUGUUGCCUGAUGAUGCCCCUUUCACUCAUGUUGGCAUCGAUUAUUUUGGCCCCAUUGAAGUUAAAAGAAGCAGAGGUCUUCUCAAAAGAUACGGAGUGCUCUUCACCUGCAUGAACAGUCGUGCUGUACACUUGGAAGUAGCAUACACAUUGGAUACAGACUCCUGUAUAAAUUCAGUGAGAAGGUUCAUCUGCAGACGAGGCCCAGUUUCAACUCUCAGGUUUGAUAAUGGAACUAACUUUGUUGGAGCCAGCCGUGAGCUCAAGGAGAGUCUGACUGCUCUGAAUCAUGGUAAAAUUCAAAGAGCCUUUCUUCAGGAUGGCAUAGAAUGGAGAUUUAACACUCCAUUAGCUUCCUAUCAGGGUGGUGUUUGGGAGCGCUUGAUUCGCUCAGUGAAGAGUCUUCUUACCUCAGUCCUUAAACAGCAUACCCUGGACGAUGAAGCACUCCAAACAAUUUUUUGCGAAGUUGAAGCAAUAUUGAAUGAUAGGCCUAUUACAAGGGCCUCAUAUGAUUCAAAUGACCUGGAAGCUUUGACGCCGAAUCACAUUCUGUUGUUGAAAGGUAAACCAAUUAUGCCACCAGAAUUGUUUGACAGAAAUGAUCUGUAUGUCAGAAAAAGAUGUAAGCAGAUACAGUACAUGGCGGAACUCUUCUGGAAGAGAUGGAUUUCUGAGUACCUGCCAUUGAUGCAACAGAGACAAAAAUGGACCGCACUAAGAAGAACCCUUACACCUGGAGAUGUUGUUCUUGUGGCAGAUGCUACAGUUUCAAGAGGAUCUUGGAUGAUGGGGAAAGUUUUGGAUGUCAGAUCAGAUGUGAAUGGGGUUGUGCACUCUGUCCGCCUCCAAACGAAGACCAGCAUCUUAGAGAUGCCUGUGAUGAAGCUGUGCCUGCUGCUGGAGGCGGCAGUGUGAUCACAUGAACUGACUCUCUCUUUCU
This is a long non-coding RNA of Cyprinus carpio (common carp), 2629 nucleotides long. The record is from Ensembl. NCBI's taxonomy places the organism in Eukaryota, Metazoa, Chordata, Actinopteri, Cypriniformes, Cyprinidae.